This 489-nucleotide ribosomal RNA is filed under the name uncultured bacterium. RNAcentral's name for it is "partial 16S ribosomal RNA". It matches the Rfam family "Bacterial small subunit ribosomal RNA", at positions 28 to 507 of the family's 1533-position model. The record is from RNAcentral.
GACGAACGCUGGCGGCGUGCUUAACACAUGCAAGUCGAACGGAAAGGCCCCCAUCUUGGUGGGGGUGCUCGAGUGGCGAACGGGUGAGUAACACGUGGGUGAUCUGCCCUGUACUUCGGGAUAAGCUUGGGAAACUGGGUCUAAUACCGGAUAGGACCAUGGUUUAGUGUCUCAUGGUGGAAAGAUUAUUGUUUUGGUGCAGGAUGAGCUCGCGGCCUAUCAGCUUGUUGGUGGGGUAAUGGCCUACCAAGGCGUCGACGGGUAGCCGGCCUGAGAGGGUGGACGGCCACAUUGGGACUGAGAUACGGCCCAGACUCCUACGGGAGGCAGCAGUGGGGAAUAUUGCACAAUGGGCGCAAGCCUGAUGCAGCGACGCCGCGUGGGGGAUGACGGCCUUCGGGUGGUAAACUCCUUUCGUUAGGGACGAAGCCGCACUUUUUUUGGGUGUGGUGACGGUACCUUUGUGAAGAAGCACCGGCUAACUACGUG